CUCAGGUUGAACGCUGGCGGCAGGCCUAACACAUGCAAGUCGAGCGGUAACAGAAAGUAGCUUGCUACUUUGCUGACGAGCGGCGGACGGGUGAGUAAUGCUUGGGAACAUGCCUUGAGGUGGGGGACAACAGUUGGAAACGACUGCUAAUACCGCAUAAUGUCUACGGACCAAAGGGGGCUUCGGCUCUCGCCUUUAGAUUGGCCCAAGUGGGAUUAGCUAGUUGGUGAGGUAAUGGCUCACCAAGGCGACGAUCCCUAGCUGGUCUGAGAGGAUGAUCAGCCACACUGGAACUGAGACACGGUCCAGACUCCUACGGGAGGCAGCAGUGGGGAAUAUUGCACAAUGGGCGAAAGCCUGAUGCAGCCAUGCCGCGUGUAUGAAGAAGGCCUUCGGGUUGUAAAGUACUUUCAGUUGUGAGGAAGGGGUACGUUAAUAGCGUUAUCUCUUGACGUUAGCAACAGAAGAAGCAACGGCUAAG
Molecule: ribosomal RNA, 481 nt
Filed under: uncultured bacterium
Lineage: Bacteria
Description: bacterial SSU rRNA
Rfam family: Bacterial small subunit ribosomal RNA
Source: RNAcentral